AGCAGCCGCGGUAAUUCCAGCUCCAAUAGCGUAUAUUAAAGUUGUUGCAGUUAAAAAAGCUCGUAGUUGAAUUUCGGGAUCAGUUGGUCGGUCGUGCCUCGGUACGUACUGGUCAAAUUGAUUCCUACCUUCUGACGAACCACGAUGUCAUUAAUUUGGUGUCGCGGGAAAUCAGGACUGUUACUUUGAAAAAAUUAGAGUGUUUAAAGCAGGCUCGCGCUUGAAUACAUUAGCAUGGAAUAAUGAAAUAGGACGUUUGAUUCUAUUUUGUUGGUUUCUAGGAUCGACGUAAUGAUUAAUAGGGAUAGUUGGGGGCAUUAGUAUUCAAUUGUCAGAGGUGAAAUUCUUGGAUUUAUUGAAGACUAACUACUGCGAAAGCAUUUGCCAAGGAUGUUUUCAUUAAUCAAGAACGAAAGUUAGGGGAUCGAAGACGAUCAGAUACCGUCGUAGUCUUAACCAUAAACUAUGCCGACUAGGGAUCGGAUGAUGUUAAUUUUUAAUUGACUCAUUCGGCGCCUUA
This 520-nucleotide ribosomal RNA is filed under the name uncultured Glomus. RNAcentral describes it as "SSU rRNA". It matches the Rfam family "Eukaryotic small subunit ribosomal RNA", at positions 569 to 1090 of the family's 1831-position model. Lineage: Eukaryota; Fungi; Glomeromycota; Glomeromycetes; Glomerales; Glomeraceae. The record is from RNAcentral.